This 465-nucleotide ribosomal RNA is filed under the name uncultured bacterium. RNAcentral describes it as "bacterial SSU rRNA". It matches the Rfam family "Bacterial small subunit ribosomal RNA", at positions 8 to 507 of the family's 1533-position model. The record is from RNAcentral.
AGAGUUUGAUCCUGGCUCAGGGAUGAACGCUGGCGGCGUGCCUAAUACAUGCAAGUCGAGCGGAAAGGCCUCUUCGGAGGUACUCGAGCGGCGGACGGCAGAGUAACGCGUAGGAACAUACCCCAAACAGAGGGAUAACUGCCCGAAAGGGUGGCUAAUACCGCAUGUGAUCUUCGGAUUAAAGCUUCGGCGGUUUGGGAAUGGCCUGCGUUCGAUUAGCUAGUUGGUGAGGUAAAAGGCUCACCAAGGCGACGAUCGAUAACUGGUCUGAGAGGAUGAUCAGUCUGACUGGAACUGAGACACGGUCCAGACUCCUACGGGAGGCAGCAGUAGGGAAUUUUCCACAAUGGGCGAAAGCCUGAUGGAGCAACGCCGCGUGCAGGAUGAAGGCCCUUGGGUCGUAAACUGCUUUUAUGUGAGAAGAAUAUGACGGUAACACAUGAAUAAGGGUCGGCUAACUACGUG